This 2804-nucleotide long non-coding RNA is filed under the name Sus scrofa (pig). RNAcentral's name for it is "lncRNA (ENSSSCG00000041593.1)". The record is from RNAcentral. Lineage: Eukaryota; Metazoa; Chordata; Mammalia; Artiodactyla; Suidae.
CAGAACUGUAGCUGCUGGCCUACGCCACGGCCACAGCACGUGGGAUCCAAGUCCCAUCUGCAACCCACACCACAGCUCACGGCAGUGCUGGCUCCUUAACCCCCUGAGCAAGGCCAGGAAUCAAACCUGUGUCCUCAAUCUAGUCAGAUUCAUUUCUGCUGAGCCACGAUGGGAACUCCUGUUUUGUUUCUUGUUGUGCUUUGUAAUUUUUUAUUAAGGACCUGUCAUCAUAUGAAAAUCAUAGGGUGUUUGGAGGUUGUUAUCUUCCUCCAGAGAAGACAAUUUUUUUCUGCGGGCAGUAGAAUAAAGCUGUUCAUCUUGACACAGUCAACAAUUAAGAUGAUGGGGUGGAGUUUAGGCUGGUAGAUUUCUGUUGCCUGGACUCCUGAGGCAUCUGGCAGCCAGGCUUUGGAAAGAAGCUCAGGGGUGACAUCAGGGAGGAUCACGGUGAGGGGAGUGAUGGAUGCAGGAGUCCGAUGGAGGACUGAGAGGUGAGAAGAACCAGACACCAGGGCUAACGGAGCUCUGAGAAACUUGGCUGUGCAUCGCUAUUGAUACACACACAUGAAUGUUACGUUCACAGAUGGUGCAGAGAGGGUGGGGUCUGCAGUCCUGGAGACAGAAUCUCAUUUUAUUGUGCUGUAGAGUCUGGGCUAAGCUACCUCCAAAUACAGUGAGUUAAACACCAGUUAAUUUUUUCCCGCCUGAGGUCCAGAGGUGAUGGUUCACCCUAAAUGCAAGAGAGGCAGGGAAAGCAUUGUCUUCUUUGAGAGGCAGGAUCAGAGGGCUGAUCCCUAAGUAAUCAAGGGGGCGAGCUCCCUUGAUCUUUGGCCAUCCUAAGUCCUCAGUGUCUGGGUGCUGGCCCAGCUCAUGCAACAGGGCUUUUGGGAGAGGUGAUGUUAGAAAUCACGUUGUUAUCCUACAUGCCAGUGCAGAGUGAACAGCUAGGGGAAUGGAAUCUCAGGGGGUGCCUGCAGCCUACCUGCUACCUUGUGCCUUGGACCUGGGCUGUGCAUGCCACCUGCUGCUGAUCUGGACCCUGCACUGGCCUGUCCACCAAGUGCUAGCCGGCUAUGGCUGCGAUAUAAUGUUUCCCACCACUCUGUUCCGGGCAGCUACCCCUACAGGUCCCAGGUUUCUUGCAUGACAGCCAGUUCCUUAUUUUCGAAUUAUCUGUGCAAAGGGCUAGGCUCAUUGGAUGCCUGUAGUUUCAGUUGUUGGCCUAAAGGGCUCCGUGUCUGGGAUUAACCUCAGCCAUUCUCCUUUCUUUGUUACAGACGCAAAGUCUUCUCUAUGUCAGCUCCAGGGUCUUCCUCAAGUCAGAGUCCUGGGAAGUGGCGGGUCACCUGCCCACACUCACUCCCUGUGAUGUCAAAGCCGGUGGGAGCGGGUCUUAUUUGCUAGGAGGAAAGCCUGAUCUACCUGCUCCCAAGAUGGUCUCUCAGAAGGGGGGAGGGAGCCCUCAAUCAGAUUUAGAAUGUUGAUUAUUAAAAGGGACUGGAGGAGUUACCCCUCUGGCGCAGUGGGUUAAGGAUCCGUCUUGUCUCUCUUGGUGUUGCCAGUUCGAUUCUGGGCACAGUGGGUUAAGGAUCUGGUGUUGCCAUAGGAGCAUAGGUCACAGUUGCAGCUCAGACUCGAUCCCUGGCCCAGGAACUUCCAUAUGCCAUGGGUGCCACUGGGGGAAAAAAAAUGGACUGGGAAAUUUAACCUGCAAAGUAAGAUUAUUUCAUGAUUGAGUGAGUCUGAGUUAACCUAAGAGGGAACAGAAAGGACCUGGCCCUUGUCGUCUGGAGCAAGGGAAGGCCCCCUCCCAUUGACAGGUCUUUGAAAGGGCGGGGGAGGGGGGCGUGCAGUGGGGAGUUGUGUUUUGAUCACAUUCUGUGGUUGUGCUUUUUCAGCAUCCCAGUUGCUCACACAGUGCAGGUUCAGAUAAAGGAGUGGAUGAGGGUUAAUUUGCUGAGUUGGGCUGGGUGAGGAGGGGAUGAACCAUGGUGACUUCAACUUUUUUGUCUUGAAUCAAAGUAAAACCUCAGACCAGCAGCCAAGGGAGUGCAUCCUUUUGAACGAUCUGUUGGUGGGCGUGCAAACCCAUUCUUUGUUCAUUUCUCCUCUGUCCUCUGUGUGUUUCUCAUUUAGUGUCACUUCCACAGGUCAUAACAUGUACAGUUUUUUUUUUUUUUUUUUUUUGGUCUUUUUAGGGCCGCACCCACAACAUGGGAGUUCCCAGGCUAGGGGUCGAGUCAGAGCUGCAGCUGUGGGCCUACACCACAGCCACAGCAACAGGGGAUCCGAGCCACAUCUGCGACCUACACCACAGAUCACAGCAACGCUGGAUCCUUAACCCACUGAGGCAGGCCAUGGACCGAACCCACGUCCUCAUGGAUGAUGAUCAUUGUAGUUUUCUAGAGAAAGUUCUUAGUUAUCUCAUUUCAGGUUAUUUAACUUUCUUGGACAGAGUGAAAAACUGUAUUUUAUGAACAUCCUGAAAAACUUGAGUUUGAAUUGUCAUAAAUGGCCUUGGUUAAUAAAUAAUAAUAAAACAUUAAGUUGUGUAAACAUAUACUAGUCUAUGAAAUGCUGUUUUUAGCAUUUACUAUUCAAUUUCCUUCCUUUUGCACAGGAAGUGUGCCUUGCACAUUAUCUACCCAAAGGGUAAAUUUGGUUCUUUGUAGUUGGGUAAAUAGAAUUUUUGUGAACUGCUAGAAUAAUUUAUUGUAUUUGCUGAAUUUAUUCUUUUCCUUUGUGAGUAGUCUGUGCUCAUAAACUGAUUCUUUUGCUGGCCAAAGAAGCCUUUUGUCCAUUUG